UUCAGAAACCCACGCCCACUCUCACUUAAUCAAAACCCAUAGCAAUAAAGCUACUACAGAUCUAUCAAUCUAUUUUCCUUCACUUAAUCUCUUCCAUUUCUUCUUCACGUAAUCUCUUCCAUUUCUUCUUCAUUUCCUCCGAUUUCAAGCCGGUGUAGUUGCAAAAUUCCAAAACAAUAGCUCUCUGCUUUUCUUCAGCGCCUCCUCUUUCUUCAGUGCCUCCUCUGUUGCAAAAUAAAAGAGAUAUGAAAGAAAACUUCAGAUCUAUCAAUUAAUUGGAUAAUCGGUGUAUUUUGACGAAAUUUGGUAGAAUCGGUGUAUUUUGAAUCGGCAGAAAUUUGGUAGAAUCGGCAGAAAUUUGGUAGAAUCGGUGUAUUUUGAAGAAGGAUAUAACUCUCUCUAUUGAAAUCGAGAUAACUCCUGGGGACCUUCAGAGAAGACGCAAUUGUCGCCGAUUGAUUUUUCUCUUUUUGCUCUGCGUUGUGUUUGAAUCAGUCUCAAGGAAAAAAUUGAACUAGCAUUGAGCCAAAGUACCGUGGAUGAGUCUGAAAUUUCGCCAAAUGAUAUUAUUGGUAAGGUGUUGGGAAAAGAGCUCUCUGGAAGGGUAAGGUGCUUAGGAUUAGGAGUUGUUCCUGGUAGAGCUUCUAGACAAACAAGACCUCGUUAUAGUGAUUUGAAUGCUUCAAGUUAUAAUAAUGAUUCAUGUUCUUUCCAAUGCCAAGAGAAGUACAAUCAAAUGUUGAAUGCUCACAAUCAAAGCCAAGAGAACUACAGAGAAAUGAUGAAUGUUAACACUCAAAUGAUGAAUGCUUUUAAGGCGUAUAUGAUAAUGAAAGAAGGAAAAAUACCUGAAGAAUUUGCAAGGAUAUUUGUUUCUCCUCCUCGUUCAACGCCAAGUGAUGCGGCUAGCGGAUCCAUUUCACCCAUGGAUAUAAGAAGAUCAUCCGGUGGAAGUAAUUCUAACGACAACCAUUGAAGUUGCUUGCAAAUGUAUUAGAUAACUAAGUAUCGUACUCGAUUGAAUGGUCAUAGUAGAUCUUUUGUCCAUAAUAGUUGGAGUGGAUGUUCUGUUUAAUGUUAGUUUUAAGACUAAUUAUAAUAUUGAUAUUUUG
Molecule: long non-coding RNA, 1112 nt
Organism: Nicotiana tabacum (common tobacco)
Lineage: Eukaryota; Viridiplantae; Streptophyta; Magnoliopsida; Solanales; Solanaceae
Source: RefSeq, a predicted model, not a curated record